This 500-nucleotide ribosomal RNA is filed under the name uncultured bacterium. RNAcentral's name for it is "partial 16S ribosomal RNA". It matches the Rfam family "Bacterial small subunit ribosomal RNA", at positions 30 to 523 of the family's 1533-position model. The record is from RNAcentral.
AUUGAACGCUGGCGGCAUGCCCUACACAUGCAAGUCGAACGGCAGCACGGGAGCAAUCCUAGUGGCGAGUGGCGAACGGGUGAGUAAAGUAUCGGAACGUGCCCAGUCGUGGGGGAUAACGUAGCGAAAGUUACGCUAAUACCGCAUACGAUCUAUGGAUGAAAGCGGGGGAUCGCAAGACCUCGCGCGAUUGGAGCGGCCGAUAUCAGAUUAGGUAGUUGGUGGGGUAAAGGCUCACCAAGCCGACGAUCUGUAGCUGGUCUGAGAGGACGACCAGCCACACUGGGACUGAGACACGGCCCAGACUCCUACGGGAGGCAGCAGUGGGGAAUUUUGGACAAUGGGCGAAAGCCUGAUCCAGCCAUGCCGCGUGCAGGAUGAAGGCCUUCGGGUUGUAAACUGCUUUUGUACGGAACGAAAAGGUUUGGCCUAAUAAGCUGAGCUCAUGACGGUACCGUAAGAAUAAGCACCGGCUAACUACGUGCCAGCAGCCGCGGUAA